RNAcentral lists this ribosomal RNA (440 nucleotides) under uncultured bacterium. RNAcentral describes it as "bacterial SSU rRNA". It matches the Rfam family "Bacterial small subunit ribosomal RNA", at positions 338 to 793 of the family's 1533-position model. The record is from RNAcentral.
CCUACGGGUGGCAGCAGUGGGGAAUAUUGCACAAUGGGGGCAACCCUGAUGCAGCAACGCCGCGUGAGCGAUGAAGGCCUUCGGGUCGUAAAACUCUGUACUAAGGGAAGAAUACUGACGGUACCUUAGGAGGAAGCGCCGGCGAACUACGUACCAGCAGCCGCGGUAAUACGUAGGGGGCUAGCGUUCUCCGGAAUUACUGGGCGUAAAGGGUGCGUAGGCGGCCCUUCAAGGCAGAGGUGAAAGGGUACGGCUCAACCGUAGUAAGCCGUUGAAACUGGAGGGCUUGAGUGCAGGAGGGGUGAGUGGAAUUCGGAGUGUUGCGGAGAAAUGCGUAGAUAUUGGGAGGACCAUGGGGUGCGAAGGAGGCUCUCGGGACUUUAACUGAUGCUGUGGCACGAAAGCGGGGGGUGCAAACAGGGUUAGUCACCAGCUGGGAC